GAGUUUGAUCAUGGCUCAGGACGAACGCUGGCGGCGUGCUUAACACAUGCAAGUCGAGCGGAAAGGCCCUUCGGGGUACUCGAGCGGCGAACGGGUGAGUAACACGUGAGCAACCUGCCCUAGGCUUUGGGAUAAACCCCUCGGAAACGGGGGCUAAUACCGAAUAUUACUUGGUCUCGCAUGAGGUUGGGUGAAAGUUUUUCGGCCUAGGAUGGGCUCGCGGCCUAAUCAGCUUGUUGGUGGGGUAAUGGCCUACCAAGGCGACGACGGGUAGCCGGCCUGAGAGGGCGACCGGCCACACUGGGACUGAGACACGGCCCAGACUCCUACGGGAGGCAGCAGUGGGGAAUAUUGCACAAUGGGCGGAAGCCUGAUGCAGCGACGCCGCGUGAGGGAUGACGGCCUUCGGUGU
This 412-nucleotide ribosomal RNA is filed under the name uncultured bacterium. Its description in RNAcentral is "bacterial SSU rRNA". It matches the Rfam family "Bacterial small subunit ribosomal RNA", at positions 9 to 424 of the family's 1533-position model. The record is from RNAcentral.